UCUCCGUAGGUGAACCUGCGGAGGGAUCAUUACAGAGUUCAUGCCCUACCGGGUAGAUCUCCCACCCUAUGUUAUUAUUACUUUGUGGCUUUGGCGGGCCGUUAGGCUCCGGCCCGACUACCGGCCCCGGCUGGUAAGCGCCCGCCAGAGGACCCAAAACCCUGAAUAUUAGUGUCUACUGAGUACUAUAUAAUAGUUAAAACUUUCAACAACGGAUCUCUUGGUUCUG
This 229-nucleotide unclassified non-coding RNA is filed under the name plant metagenome. RNAcentral describes it as "partial contains small subunit ribosomal RNA, internal transcribed spacer 1, and 5.8S ribosomal RNA". The record is from RNAcentral.